This 1232-nucleotide long non-coding RNA is filed under the name Mus musculus (house mouse). RNAcentral's name for it is "predicted gene 4221". The record is from RNAcentral. Lineage: Eukaryota; Metazoa; Chordata; Mammalia; Rodentia; Muridae.
GCAGACUUCAGAGUCACCGUGAUCACAUGGCCUCCCUCCAUCCUGCGUUACUUGGACUACGCGGCAUCAUGGUAGUCGCUGUUUCUGGCUUUGAGUUUUCCAUCUCCAUGAGCUCUCACAAUGCCAAACUGCAUUGUCUCAUGAAGAACCACUUGGAAUCCCCCUGAGGUCCAGAAAACACGUCUGACAUCAGCUGCCAGGCCCAUCUUGCGUUUGCAGUCCAAGGUCAGUCUACAGCAGAAGCAAGAGGCAUUCCCUUGAUGGCACAAAGGACCAAGAUGGGAGAACUUGCAAACAAGGAAGAGCAAGAAAAUUCCUAUUUAUCUCACAAUCUCCACCCUGAGUCCUGCUCUCCUAAGUGUCCCUUUCACAGGACUGUAUCUGACCUACUUUCAAGCCUGGGUUUCCCUCCUUGAUUAAGCUACUCUCGAUAUACCCUCCUACAUCUCCUAGGCAAUUCCAAGCCCCAUCAACUUGACAACCAAGAUUGACCAGCAAAGAUGGUAAAUUAUAUGCUGUGUUUAUUUUACCACUGUGCUAUUCUGUCUUGGUUUUGUACAUGGGAAAACCCUGUUUUCCUUAAUCUCAUGUUUUAUUCUUUUUGUAUGUGAGUACACUGUCACUGUCUUCAGGCACACCGAAAGAGGGCAUCAGAUCUCAUUACAGAUGGUUGUGAGCUACCCUGUGGUUGCUGGGAAUUGAACUCAGGACCUCUGGAAGAGCAGUCAGUGCUCUUAACUGCUGAGCCAUCUCUCCAGCCCCCUUCCUAUGCUUUAUAGCAGGUUUUCACAGAAAUGAUGCUUUUAGCAUAUGAAGUAACCUAAAGGGAGAGCAUACACUUGCUCCUUCUUGAAGUUUUACACUGCAGAUUUAUCAAGCUACUUGAUGAAAAAUCAGAAUCAAUAGUGUAUUUACUUACUUCAGGGGACAGAGGAUGUGAGAGCUUAAGAACAUAGGAGUCUUCUUUCCCCCUACUAAUUAAAUACUUUAUUGAGCAAGUACAAUAGCAACAAAAUGCAUUCAAAUUUUCUCUAAAGAAAAAAAAUCACUUUUAAAGGCCUUUCUAGUCAGGCUAAUGACAAACACAAUAAAGGCAGAUAUGCUAGUUUAACAUAAUUGGCUGAUUUCAUACAGCACUUAUAUCUUUUACUCCACAAGUAUAUCAUUAAAUGAUAGAGAACAUCUAAUACAUCUAAUACAACUAUUUCUACAUAACUAGCCAAUGGAUUUCU